Molecule: transfer RNA, 73 nt
Filed under: Lobosphaera incisa
Lineage: Eukaryota; Viridiplantae; Chlorophyta; Trebouxiophyceae; Trebouxiales; Trebouxiaceae
Description: tRNA-Met
Rfam family: tRNA
About the family: Transfer RNA (tRNA) molecules are approximately 80 nucleotides in length. Their secondary structure includes four short double-helical elements and three loops (D, anti-codon, and T loops). Further hydrogen bonds mediate the characteristic L-shaped molecular structure. tRNAs have two regions of fundamental functional importance: the anti-codon, which is responsible for specific mRNA codon recognition, and the 3' end, to which the tRNAs corresponding amino acid is attached (by aminoacyl-tRNA synthetases). tRNAs cope with the degeneracy of the genetic code in two manners: having more than one tRNA (with a specific anti-codon) for a particular amino acid; and 'wobble' base-pairing, i.e. permitting non-standard base-pairing at the 3rd anti-codon position.
Source: RNAcentral
GGCGGAAUAGUUCAGCGGUUAGAACAAUGGAAUCAUAAUCCAUAUGUCGUGGGUUCAAAUCCCCCUUUCGCCU